CGCGUAGGCGGUUUGUUAAGUUGAAUGUGAGAACUCUGGGCUUAACCCAGAGCCUGCAUUCAAUACUGGCAGGCUAGAGUUCUGGAGGGGAUAGCGGAAUUCCUGGUGUAGCGGUGAAAUGCGUAGAUAUCAGGAGGAACACCGGUGGCGAAGGCGGCUAUCUGGACAGAGUCUGACGCUGAUGCGCGAAAGCUAGGGGAGCAAACA
Molecule: ribosomal RNA, 207 nt
Filed under: uncultured bacterium
Lineage: Bacteria
Description: partial 16S ribosomal RNA
Rfam family: Bacterial small subunit ribosomal RNA
Source: RNAcentral